AAUACAUCCCCUUGAAGCAAUGAACACAACCCAAAUGGCCAAUGCUUGCAUUUUGAGCUCAACUUUCAAUUCUGAAAUUUGAGCACCUGAGCAACAAAACAUGAAAACUGGCCAAAUUUGGACUUUUGUGGAAUUUGGUUAGUUCUCUACUCCAGCCUUUCAUAUCAUUGACCCCCAUGUUGUUGAUGGUGACAUGUCAACAUUAAAACAAAAUUAAGAAAAGCUCUUCUCAUGUUGCGUUUUUGAGGACCUUAGAGUGAUCACCGUUUGAAUCAUGCUCAAAGUAUUGAAUCAUGCUCAAAACACAGGAGCAGUCAAUUACAACAUUCCUAGAGUGUACAUGUUGAGACAUGGGGAGGGAUGUCUGUCCAGCCAGCAGGUAAACUUCCUGGGACAGACUUCCUCCGCUUGUGACCAGAGGUGGGUGUGGCCUCACCUGUGCAGCUAAUGAUAAAAGCACAGGGCAGCAGAGCCAUCUCUCUCUCUUGCUCUCUUGCUCUCUUGCCUCUCUGCCAUCUUCCUUCGAAGAAGCAACAUCUAAGGAUGCCCUCGGCUCCCAGCCAAGAGAGCAGAAAGGGACUAUCUUCCUAUAAGAUAGAUUCUAAAUGUAUUUUACCUUUUUUAAGCCUGUCUGCCUUCUGAGAUCCUAUUGUGAACAGAACGACAUGCUGUGGGACAGCUGGCUUCAGGCACCAGGCCCCUUGGCAGACCAACACCAUGUUACAAAGAUGUUCUGGAAGCUGGCAGCAUCAACCCCACCAUGUGGGAAUCCCUUGCACAUGACUGCAGUGCCUGGAGACAAACAGGCAUCUAUAACAUCUAUUUCAGUGACCAGAGGACGGAUGACCGCUGGGAGGAGCACAGAGAGAAAAAAUGCCAUGGUGCAUCUGCAGUGGCUCAACUGGAUGCCUUCCUCUGCCCCAGCUGCAACAAAACAUGUCUCUCCCACAUCGGUCUCUACAGCCACAGCAGAUCUUGUAACCUUCCAGCAGUUUGACUUUACCCCCAGAGGUGCACUCCUCCAUUGUCUCCUGAAACAGAGAGAUGCUAACCAUUCCUAUUAGCUGUUUUGGGCAAUUUUAACAGAAAGGUGGGAUAUAAAACAAAGGAACAAACCAAAUCAAAUAUCUUUAAUACGGUCAAUGACCAGCAAGCAAUUUAUGAAAUAAAAUAUGACAUUAUAAGUAAUAUUGUGCUACAGGUAACAGUGGAAAUAUGGCCAAAUCACAGAAUUGGUGCUUAUGUUUAUGACCAGGUUUCGACUUUUAAGGUUUUAAGGAUUCAAUUCAAAUGUCACUACUGUUUAUUAUCGUUCCUUCGAUGUUUACAAUUUGGACUCCAUUGCUGACAUCAUUGCUCGUCUUAUUCUUGUUGCAAUGUAGCAGUACUUUGCCACUGGCCUGUUGAUUUCGGGCUCUUUGUCAGCUAAGAGGUGUCUGAUAUAGGUGUCGUCUGUACUACGAGGUAUUUUCCUCAGAAUCGGCUCGAUCAGUUCUUUUCUUGAGUCUCGAUAUAAUAGGCAAUAUAAUAUGACAUGCCCGAUGGUUUCGAUUUCGUUGUUGUUACAGGGACAUAAUCUUUGUUCGAUCGGUAUUUUGUUAUAUCUUCCCUCUAGAAGAGCUGAAGGGAGAGCAUUAAAGCGGGCCCUGGAAAAUGCCCAUCGGUGUUUAGCGUUCUGUAGAACUUUGAGAUAGUUUGCUAGAUGGGGCCUUUGGGAAUUGAAUAGGAGUUUAUGAUUAAAGGAAGUUGAU
Podarcis muralis (Common wall lizard) is the source of this 1751-nucleotide long non-coding RNA. NCBI's taxonomy places the organism in Eukaryota, Metazoa, Chordata, Lepidosauria, Squamata, Lacertidae. The record is from Ensembl.